AAGACUAUAGACCUGCGGAGUACCUGCGGAAGGAUCAUUAACGUAUCUAUGAUGGGGUGCGGAGCGCCCUGCUCCGGUCGAACGGCCGUGCAGCGGGUGCGCCGCCCCCGUCCCACCUCACAAACUCACUGUGAACAUUCACCGGUGGAGGGGGCUCGGUCUGCGCCGUGUCCCCGAUGCCGAAUACCCAAACUCCAGUUGCAAAGAACGUCGUGCGGACUCGGUGCCGCCUAAAACAUG
RNAcentral lists this unclassified non-coding RNA (240 nucleotides) under soil metagenome. RNAcentral describes it as "partial contains 5.8S ribosomal RNA, internal transcribed spacer 2, and large subunit ribosomal RNA". The record is from RNAcentral.